RNAcentral lists this ribosomal RNA (254 nucleotides) under uncultured bacterium. RNAcentral describes it as "partial 16S ribosomal RNA". It matches the Rfam family "Bacterial small subunit ribosomal RNA", at positions 524 to 776 of the family's 1533-position model. The record is from RNAcentral.
UACGGGGGGGGCAAGCGUUGUUCGGAAUUACUGGGCGUAAAGGGCUCGUAGGCGGCCAACUAAGUCGGAUGUGAAAUCCCCAGGCUUAACUUGGGAACUGCGUCUGAUACUGGAUGGCUUGAGUUUGGGAGAGGGAUGCGGAAUUCCAGGUGUAGCGGUGAAAUGCGUAGAUAUCUGGAGGAACACCGGUGGCGAAGGCGGCAUCCUGGACCAACACUGACGCUGAGUGAGCGAAAGCCAGGGGAGCAAACGGG